CCUACGGGAGGCAGCAGUGAGGAAUAUUGGACAAUGGGUUAGCGCCUGAUCCAGCCAUCCCGCGUGAAGGACGACGGCCCUAUGGGUUGUAAACUUCUUUUGUACAGGGAUAAACCUAUCUACGUGUAGAUAGCUGAAGGUACUUACGAUAGACCAUCA
This 159-nucleotide ribosomal RNA is filed under the name uncultured Chryseobacterium sp. RNAcentral describes it as "partial 16S ribosomal RNA". It matches the Rfam family "Bacterial small subunit ribosomal RNA", at positions 338 to 495 of the family's 1533-position model. Lineage: Bacteria; Pseudomonadati; Bacteroidota; Flavobacteriia; Flavobacteriales; Weeksellaceae. The record is from RNAcentral.